GACGAACGCUGGCGGCGUGCUUAACACAUGCAAGUCGAACGGAAAGGCCCUGCUUGCAGGGUACUCGAGUGGCGAACGGGUGAGUAACACGUGGGUGAUCUGCCCUGCACUUCGGGAUAAGCCUGGGAAACUGGGUCUAAUACCGGAUAGGAGCCAUUUUUAGUGUGAUGGUUGGAAAGUUUUUUCGGUGUAGGAUGAGCUCGCGGCCUAUCAGCUUGUUGGUGGGGUAAUGGCCUACCAAGGCGGCGACGGGUAGCCGGCCUGAGAGGGUGGACGGCCACAUUGGGACUGAGAUACGGCCCAGACUCCUAUGGGAGGCAGCAGUGGGGAAUAUUGCACAAUGGGCGCAAGCCUGAUGCAGCGACGCCGCGUGGGGGAUGACGGCCUUCGGGUUGUAAACUCCUUUCGCUAGGGACGAAGCUUUUUGUGACGGUACCUAGAUAAGAAGCACCGGCUAACUACGUG
Molecule: ribosomal RNA, 465 nt
Filed under: uncultured bacterium
Lineage: Bacteria
Description: partial 16S ribosomal RNA
Rfam family: Bacterial small subunit ribosomal RNA
Source: RNAcentral